This is a long non-coding RNA of Equus caballus (horse), 2606 nucleotides long. Lineage: Eukaryota; Metazoa; Chordata; Mammalia; Perissodactyla; Equidae. The record is from Ensembl.
UUCUGAUAUUAGCCCAUUCCUAACAUAUUUAUACACUUCCUGUCAGUGUGGUCUAAAUUUCAGAUUUGUACUUUCAGUUCAAGAUGGCCAACCACAAAUUUAAUCUACCUCUCCAUCCACGCAGAGGCAAACAAAUACACGAAAACAUAAAAGGACUGGGGACAUGAAAGCCAGCCCUCAUAAAAUCUGAGGACCUCCUAAACUAUGGAAAGAUGAUUUUUUCAGAUUUCAGUUGAAGAAACGGAUGAAGCUACAUCCUAAGAAAUUGGUGUUAAUUGUAGCAACUCCUAGAUCAGCUCUAAAAAGUUUUAAGGUCAGUCAACUCCCCCUUCCCCUCUCCAAGGAGAUUCACCAUCAGCCAUGAUUUGUGUUCUCAGGCUAAUUGCAAACAGCAAUUCACUAAGAAAAGUAAGCACCUGUCUUGCUAGAUCAUGAGUGGGAAGCAGAGCAAAAUGGGAAGCAAUUCUCAAAGAGGGAAAAGAAAAACUGAAGAGGCGGUCCUUCCAAGUAGGAAAAUGUUUUAAACUGCUUCAUUUUCAGAGUAAAGCUCUCUUUCAUUUGGCAAAUAUUGAUCUCCAGCCUACCUGCCUAUAAGAAAUGCUGCUGGUUGAUAACACCUGACUUCCUUUCACAGAAUCCUCCUUGAGGCUUCUUGUUCACGGGUCCUCAGAGAUACAGAUGGGAUCAUGCAGACUGCUUCUUCCAACAGAGUACUUCAUUCAUACAUGUGAAGGAAGCAGGAGGAAGGAGGUAACCAAGAUAAAGAAACCGAACAAGUGACUUUAGAGGAAAUUGAGCUAAUUCUAAAAACAGAAGAGAUCUUAAAAGCAAAUUUUAUCAUCAGUAGAGAUUUGAUAGAGCUAUAGUGCUUUCAAAACCAAGAAUGGCCUGCAAAAGAAAAUGAGCAAGCUGAGAACAACAAAAACAAGUUCUGGAGGCUGGAAAUCCAAGAUCAGAUACCUGCGUAGUUGAGUGCUGGUGAAGACCCUCUUCCGGGUUUCAGACUGCCCACCUUCCUGUGUCCACGCAUGGCGGAAGGGCUGCAAGCAAUGGAAAUCCAGCCUCAUAGGAAUCUGAGGAGGCAACAUGUGGAUGAAAACGCUGUCUUCUCUUCCUUAAAUGGGAAUUCCAUUCAAGGGAAAAACUCUUUCACCAUUGGAUUAGAAUGACCAUGUGGUUUGUGUUUGUGUCAGAGCCUCUUGGCUGAAUUCUGAAAACCUCUUUAAAACUCAGUAAAUCACACACUCACAUCUGUAGCAAAGUUGUAGUAAUACCUUUAAAAAAAAAUCUAUAAACUCACAUACUUCCCUGUACAUGUUCAUCUGAAUAAAUUAUCAUUUGAGAAGGCAUUUCAUUCAGAUUCUGUGAUUCAGACUUCCAAAUCAUUCAACCUGAAUGCUCAAAAUGUGUUUCCCAGAUGGGCAAAGUUGAGCUCAAGUUCAGAUUAGUUGUUGCCAAAACACUCAAUCUACAAAGUAUAUUGGAAUAUUCAGUCCUUUAGUCAAAAAGUCAUUUGGCUAAAAUGUAAAAUUGACUUUAACAUUUGCACAAUGAACUUCUUGAAGAGGAUAGAACAUCCAUGACAUGGAAGUAGCAGUCCAUUUGAAAGAUGCUUGGAUGAAUCCACACAAUAUAGAUUAGAUUAUCCGUAUUAAUGAAACUUUCAAGAUGGGGAUUGUGGCAUUACAGACACACUGUUCAUUUUCACUCCUCUCUUUAUUUUUUCUUGCUGUUUUCUCUGUCUAGGAGGCUCUUAUUUCUGUAUGGCAAACUCCCACUCAUUCUUCAAAACAGUUUGAAUGUCAUUUUAUCUGUGAAGCCUACCUCUGACAGAAUGAGUUUACCUCCUCUGUUUCCUUAGUCUUUUAAUUCAUCUCACUUUCUGAAUUUUCACAUUUUAGUAUUAGAUAGAUAGAUGAUAAAUACAUAGGUAGAUGUUGAGGUGUGUGUGUGAGUGUGUGUGUAUCAACACAAGUAGACUACACUGCCUGGAGGGCAGACAUUGUGCCUUAUUUGUUUAUGUAUUUCUAGUUCUUGAUGCAAAAUAUUUCACAUAACAGAUUUAAUAAUCUAUUAACCUAUUGUAAUCUAAUCUAUUAUAAUCUAUUAAUCUAAUAAUCUAAUAAUCUAUUGAAUUAAAUUAAAAGUAAUUUGAUUAUGUUGAUAUUAAAGUUCCAUUAUACCGUCAGGAAAUCAUUUAAAGAUAUUAUGUAAUUAAUGUUAAAUAUAUGUUAAUCUUAGCACAUGUAAUAAGUUAUGAAAGUAUUUUGAAAUGACAGGGUGUCAUGAUUAAACAAUACAGAUAUUUUAUCAGUUUGACAGAUUUUUCUCUAUAAUGAAUGCACAACUUUGGUCUGAUUUAUCACCAUUUCCACAUAAAUCAUGAAAAUACUUUUGUAAAUCUUGAUCCGUUUUAAAGCGUUUGGAUAUCCAUUAUCUUAUUUGAUUGAAUUGACUCAAUAUCCACAACUAGAUUGUGUGACAGUUUGAGCAAAUGUCAUUGUCCCAAUAUAUAAAUCUAUAAUAUAUAAAUCUAAAAUCAACUAACUUUCCCAAAGUUGCAACACAGACUAGUGGCAAAGUCAGAGUUUCACUCUGUGCUCUCU